GACGAACGCUGGCGGCGUGCUUAACACAUGCAAGUCGAACGGAAAGGCCCUGCUUUUGUGGGGUGCUCGAGUGCCGACCGGGUGCGUAACACGUGAGUAACCUGCCCUUGACUUUGGGCUAACUUCAGGAAACUCGGGCUAAUACCGGAUAGGAGCUUCUGCUCCAUGGUGGGGGUUGGAAAGUUUCGGCGGUUGGGGCUGGACUCGCCGCUUAACAGCUUAUUGGUGUGGUAGUGGCAUACCAAGGCUUUGGCGGGUAGCCGGCCUGAGAAGGUGACCGGCCACAGGACGACUGAGGUACGGUCCAGACGGCAACGGGAGGCAGCAGUGGGAAAUAUUGCACAAGGGGCGGAAGCCUGGCGCAGCAUCGCCGCGCGCGGGAUAACGGCCUUGGGGUUGUAAACCGCUUUCGCCUUGGACGAACCGUGAGUGACGGUACUGGGUAAAGAAGCACGGGCUAACUACGUG
This 468-nucleotide ribosomal RNA is filed under the name uncultured bacterium. RNAcentral's name for it is "partial 16S ribosomal RNA". It matches the Rfam family "Bacterial small subunit ribosomal RNA", at positions 28 to 507 of the family's 1533-position model. The record is from RNAcentral.